RNAcentral lists this ribosomal RNA (468 nucleotides) under uncultured bacterium. Its description in RNAcentral is "partial 16S ribosomal RNA". It matches the Rfam family "Bacterial small subunit ribosomal RNA", at positions 28 to 507 of the family's 1533-position model. The record is from RNAcentral.
GACGAACGCUGGCGGCGUGCUUAACACAUGCAAGUCGAACGGAAAGGCCCUGCUUUUGUGGGGUGCUCGAGUGGCGAACGGGUGAGUAACACGUGAGUAACCUGCCCUUGACUUUGGGAUAACUUCAGGAAACUGGGGCUAAUACCGGAUAGGAGCUCCUGCUGCAUGGUGGGGGUUGGAAAGUUUCGGCGGUUGGGGAUGGACUCGCGGCUUAUCAGCUUGUUGGUGGGGUAGUGGCUUACCAAGGCUUUGACGGGUAGCCGGCCUGAGAGGGUGACCGGCCACAUUGGGCCUGAGAUACGGCCCAGACUCCUACGGGAGGCAGCGGUGGGGAAUCUUGCACAAUGGGCGGAAGCCUGAUGCAGCAACGCCGCGUGCGGGAUGACGGCCUUCGGGUUGUAAACCGCUUUCGCCUGUGACGAAGCGUGAGUGACGGUAAUGGGUAAAGAAGCACCGGCUAACUACGUG